AAAAACAAAUCUCUCCAGAUAACAUGGAGGCUCCUAGGGCAUUCAUCAUCUUCUGUGACUCCCACUGUGUUUGGCUUGGUGUCAACUUGGAUACCAGCUCCUAGAGGACAGGGAGGGUCUCGGCCACCUCUGCAGCCCUGCAGCUCUGGCAGUAGCUCCCGUGCAUGGCAGACGGACACUGAUUGCUUAGAGAACUGCAUGAAUAAACUAGAGUUGAGAAGAAGUCAUCGGAGAGGAUGAAAGAUGAUCCAGAAAGCAUGGUAUCCUGGACGUCUACGGAAGAAUCUUAAGGAAGAAGUGAUCAACGUUGUCAAAUACUGCAGAGAGAUGGGAACAAAAAAGUCAUCCUGUGCUUUUUGGCUGGGCUGGGAUUCUACAAACUGCUUUUCCCAAAUUCCCAAGCCCAUUUCCUCCUUAUUAUGUUCUGUCAAUGGAAGGUUCUGAUGGCAGAUUGAAAGUAAGAAGGGACCUCUGGUUGCCACCUUCAAUCACCCCAAGGGUGAGGUAUCUUGAUGGACAAUCCUACCUACCUGUAAGAAGUUUGGAGAAGAAAGAGGAACUCAACCAAAAGAAAUUUAGCAUGCUGUUUCCUCAAGAAGGAAGAAUGGAUUAUAGCCAGCAAUUAUAACAAAUUUUCACUACAUUGAACUUCAGAAGCAGUCUUCUGUUGUAAAUUACAAUGCAUUGUGUACUAAAACUUUGAAUAAAAGAACAAUGAUCUUGGGGUGGAAUGCUCAGAGCAAUUUUUCUAAAAGAAGGUUCUAUAUGUGAAGCCUUGUUAUCACUACUUAUGGACUGGGACAGAGCAGGAGGAGUUUCCUAUUCAAUAUUUUUCAUUUGACAAAUAUUUAUUUACUCCGCCCCAGUGAUUCUAAGUCUAAGCCCCAGGGAUUCUGGACUAGGUCAUUUCCUUUAUUCACUGUCACCAACGCAGAGCUCAUGUUGCUUAACAUUAACAACCAGCACAACGGGGUAAGUUGGCCUUUCAGAAAUCCAGAGGGACACCCAUGAAAGUUAAAUAUUAACACAUAUAUAAGUAUAAAACAAUGACUUCACUUUACCUAAUAAAAUAUCACAAUACUAAAUGAAAACAAAGUACAAGUUCAAGCAAGUACAGUGUUUUCUAUUUUCCAAUAAUUUCCUUCAGCUCCCUCUAACACAAGUGCAUUAAACAAUAUUUUAAGAGAAAUGAAUAAGAAUUCUAUUACAUUAAGACAAUUCAUUUGUGUGCCAUUCUUUGUUUUUUUUUUUCAAAAAUGUGUGGGGUUUUUCUUCCCCUGCUUAUAAGAGUAAUGUU
Molecule: long non-coding RNA, 1297 nt
Organism: Mustela erminea (ermine)
Lineage: Eukaryota; Metazoa; Chordata; Mammalia; Carnivora; Mustelidae
Exons: 3
Source: RefSeq, a predicted model, not a curated record